Molecule: ribosomal RNA, 468 nt
Filed under: uncultured bacterium
Lineage: Bacteria
Description: partial 16S ribosomal RNA
Rfam family: Bacterial small subunit ribosomal RNA
Source: RNAcentral
GACGAACGCUAGCGGCGUGCUUAACACAUGCAAGUCGAACGGAAAGGCCCUGCUUUUGUGGGGUGCUCGAGUGGCGAACGGGUGAGUAACACGUGAGUAACCUGCCCUUGACUUUGGGAUAACUUCAGGAAACUGGGGCUAAUACCGGAUAGGAGCUCCUGCUGCAUGGUGGGGGUUGGAAAGUUUCGGCGGGUGGGGAUGGACUCGCGGCUUAUCAGCUUGUUGGUGGGGUAGUGGCUUACCAAGGCUUUGACGGGUAGCCGGCCUGAGAGGGUGACCGGCCACAUUGGGACUUAGAUACGGCCGAGACUCCGACGGGAGGCAGCAGUGGGGAAUAUGGCACAAUGGGCGGAAGCCUGAUGCAGCAACGCCGCGUGCGGGAUGACGGCCUUCGGGUUGUAAACCGCUUUCGCCUGUGACGAAGCGUGAGUGACGGUAAUGGGUAAAGAAGCACCGGCUAACUACGUG